GACGAACGCUGGCGGCGUGCUUAACACAUGCAAGUCGAACGGAAAGGCCCUGCUUUUGUGGGGUGCUCGAGUGGCGAACGGGUGAGUAACACGCGAGUAACCUGCCCUUGACUUUGGGAUAACUUCAGGAAACUGGGGCUAAUACCGGAUAGGAGCUCCUGCUGCAUGGUGGGGGUUGGAAAGUUUCGGCGGUUGGGGAUGGACUCGCGGCUUAUCAGCUUGUUGGUGGGGUAGGUGCUUACCAAGGCUUUGACGGGUAGCCGGCCUGAGAGGGUUACCGGGCACAUUGGGACUGCGAUACGGCCCAGAAUCCAACGGGAGGCAGCAGUGGGGAAUAUUGCACAGUGGGCGGAAGCCUGAUGCGACGACGCCGCGUGCGGGAUGACGGCCUUCGGGUUGUGAACCGCUUUCGCCUGUGACGAAGCGUGAGUGACGGUAAUGGGUAAAGAAGCACCGGCUAACUACGUG
Molecule: ribosomal RNA, 468 nt
Filed under: uncultured bacterium
Lineage: Bacteria
Description: partial 16S ribosomal RNA
Rfam family: Bacterial small subunit ribosomal RNA
Source: RNAcentral